RNAcentral lists this ribosomal RNA (253 nucleotides) under uncultured bacterium. RNAcentral's name for it is "partial 16S ribosomal RNA". It matches the Rfam family "Bacterial small subunit ribosomal RNA", at positions 524 to 776 of the family's 1533-position model. The record is from RNAcentral.
UACGUAGGGUGCAAGCGUUGUCCGGAAUCAUUGGGCGUAAAGAGCGUGUAGGCGGCCAGAAAAGUCCGCUGUGAAAACUCGAGGCUCAACUUCGAGCUGUCGGUGGAAACUUUCUGGCUAGAGUCCGGAAGAGGAGAAUGGAAUUCCUGGUGUAGCGGUGAAAUGCGCAGAUAUCAGGAAGAACACCCGUGGCGAAGGCGGCACUCUGGGACGGUACUGACGCUGAGACGCGAAAGCGUGGGGAGCAAACAGG